GUGAAAACACCCUGGGGAGGAGAAGCCGACAGCGGAGCUCCUGCGAGGAGCCGGCAGGAUCCAGGAGACGUGAAGGUGGAUGAAAAAUCCGACCCCUCAUGGCACCAGUGCCCAGCGCUCCCUGCGGCACCAUCAGUCCAGAGGGAGGGGGAAUGAGCUGCCCAUCCCAUGGGAUUCCGGAGGGAGGGGCUUUGGAGCCGGCCAGGCUGUUCUUGCUGGACGAUGGAAUGUUUAUAGUCUAAAUAAAGUUUUCCUGCUCUUCCCA
Molecule: long non-coding RNA, 265 nt
Organism: Corvus hawaiiensis (hawaiian crow)
Lineage: Eukaryota; Metazoa; Chordata; Aves; Passeriformes; Corvidae
Exons: 2
Source: RefSeq, a predicted model, not a curated record